GCGUCGGUCCGCACUCCCUGUGACCCAGGACGUCAUGAUGCCUUCCCUGUUUUCUUAAUGAUAACUUGGCAGAAGAGGAGACAGGCUGCUAGGUUCUCCUCGGGUGGUUGCGUGAUCUUACUCAGCCUGCUAAAAAUGUCUGAAUUCUGUGUAGACAUUAGAGAUAAAAUAGAUUAAGAUACAGAUACUUCCUGACAGUAAAAGAGAGGUGGGGGAGAAUGAAGAGGAGGAGGAGGAGGAAGA
This is a long non-coding RNA of Phodopus roborovskii (desert hamster), 243 nucleotides long. RefSeq lists it as uncharacterized. The transcript has 3 exons. NCBI's taxonomy places the organism in Eukaryota, Metazoa, Chordata, Mammalia, Rodentia, Cricetidae. The record is from RefSeq and is a predicted model, not a curated record.